This 1124-nucleotide ribosomal RNA is filed under the name Campylobacter coli. Its description in RNAcentral is "bacterial SSU rRNA". It matches the Rfam family "Bacterial small subunit ribosomal RNA", at positions 389 to 1533 of the family's 1533-position model. The record is from RNAcentral. RNAcentral also lists the same sequence under 1 other name. Lineage: Bacteria; Pseudomonadati; Campylobacterota; Epsilonproteobacteria; Campylobacterales; Campylobacteraceae.
CAGCAACGCCGCGUGGAGGAUGACACUUUUCGGAGCGUAAACUCCUUUUCUUAGGGAAGAAUUCUGACGGUACCUAAGGAAUAAGCACCGGCUAACUCCGUGCCAGCAGCCGCGGUAAUACGGAGGGUGCAAGCGUUACUCGGAAUCACUGGGCGUAAAGGGCGCGUAGGCGGAUUAUCAAGUCUCUUGUGAAAUCUAAUGGCUUAACCAUUAAACUGCUUGGGAAACUGAUAGUCUAGAGUGAGGGAGAGGCAGAUGGAAUUGGUGGUGUAGGGGUAAAAUCCGUAGAUAUCACCAAGAAUACCCAUUGCGAAGGCGAUCUGCUGGAACUCAACUGACGCUAAGGCGCGAAAGCGUGGGGAGCAAACAGGAUUAGAUACCCUGGUAGUCCACGCCCUAAACGAUGUACACUAGUUGUUGGGGUGCUAGUCAUCUCAGUAAUGCAGCUAACGCAUUAAGUGUACCGCCUGGGGAGUACGGUCGCAAGAUUAAAACUCAAAGGAAUAGACGGGGACCCGCACAAGCGGUGGAGCAUGUGGUUUAAUUCGAAGAUACGCGAAGAACCUUACCUGGGCUUGAUAUCCUAAGAACCUUUUAGAGAUAAGAGGGUGCUAGCUUGCUAGAACUUAGAGACAGGUGCUGCACGGCUGUCGUCAGCUCGUGUCGUGAGAUGUUGGGUUAAGUCCCGCAACGAGCGCAACCCACGUAUUUAGUUGCUAACGGUUCGGCCGAGCACUCUAAAUAGACUGCCUUCGUAAGGAGGAGGAAGGUGUGGACGACGUCAAGUCAUCAUGGCCCUUAUGCCCAGGGCGACACACGUGCUACAAUGGCAUAUACAAUGAGACGCAAUACCGCGAGGUGGAGCAAAUCUAUAAAAUAUGUCCCAGUUCGGAUUGUUCUCUGCAACUCGAGAGCAUGAAGCCGGAAUCGCUAGUAAUCGUAGAUCAGCCAUGCUACGGUGAAUACGUUCCCGGGUCUUGUACUCACCGCCCGUCACACCAUGGGAGUUGAUUUCACUCGAAGCCGGAAUACUAAACUAGUUACCGUCCACAGUGGAAUCAGCGACUGGGGUGAAGUCGUAACAAGGUAACCGUAGGAGAACCUGCGGUUGGAUCACCUCCUUU